GUUUGUCACAAGGAUAAGAAUUUCCUUGAUCUUCUGUUCCUGCAUGGCUGGUAUCAUUGAUCUCUGCAUAUCCCUUUCAAGUUUCUGAAAAGUGCACAGGCAGGAAAAUGAAAGUGUCAGAAAGGAACCCAACUAAAGAGAACCCUGCAAACAGUGUUGUUCAAAUAUUUGUUUUUCUCAUCUUGAGGCCUCCAGGAGGUGUUACAAUGAAAUGCUCCUCAUCACCACCCUGCUCACUGAAGUGAGGAAAGCUGCAGCCAGAGGGAGAAGUGGAGCUGGUUCUCCAAGGAAAGACACCCCACACUGCUAGGCCUACAACUUAGCAAAUAAACAGUGUUACUCACAGGCA
RNAcentral lists this long non-coding RNA (349 nucleotides) under Coturnix japonica (Japanese quail). RNAcentral's name for it is "lncRNA (ENSCJPG00005004354.1)". Lineage: Eukaryota; Metazoa; Chordata; Aves; Galliformes; Phasianidae. The record is from RNAcentral.